This is a long non-coding RNA of Drosophila pseudoobscura, 695 nucleotides long. RefSeq lists it as uncharacterized. The record is from RefSeq and is a predicted model, not a curated record. NCBI's taxonomy places the organism in Eukaryota, Metazoa, Arthropoda, Insecta, Diptera, Drosophilidae. The transcript is spliced from 2 exons.
GGCAGUCUUGAUUUUAGCUGCUUUUGCUGUGACAAGACCCGGACGAGGGAGACAUCUGAAUGAUGUUUGGAUUUGCUGGAGUCCUAAAAGAAAGAUUACCAGCUUCAUGGCGUUCUGUCCUUGGCAAGAGCUAAGAAAGGUCUAACAAUGCCUUUGUCCAGUCGUCGGAACACUGACUAUAUCUGCCUUGAGAGCUUCAGCUUGGAGCUAGAGGGAUAUUAUCAGCACUGAUUCGCACUUUGAAUCCCAUAAAGAUAAAUCGGUUCCUGCUAGCAAUAUAUCGCCUGAUACGAGGUGGUGACAAACCCCAUAGUUUUCCUUGGGGAAAUGUGGUAUCUAAAUAAUGGCAGAUUUAUGCCCUGCCCUGCCUAUCUUUACAACGCUUUAAAAUUGGAAUGUUUUUGGCACGCUUGUUUGUCCAAUAGCCACAUGCUGAGCAUUGCAAUGCCUAUCUUUAUAUCUCUAGACGGUUGCUGUAUUUAUCGAGUACACCUCUCGCUACCUCAGUACAUCCUCUUAUUGAGCCAACAAAGAAUUAUAGAUUCCUCACACUACAGAGGCUGAGUUGAAUGGAACUUUGACGAGUCGUAAGCGUAAAUCACAAUAAGAAAGCAUUUACAGCUGGAAAAACCUGAACAACCAUUAUCACUUGAAUUUUAUUAGAAUACAAUAAAUCAGAAGAGAUUAGAAUCGCA